Molecule: transfer RNA, 77 nt
Filed under: Nitrospirota bacterium
Lineage: Bacteria; Pseudomonadati; Nitrospirota
Also listed under: 1 other name
Description: Nitrospirae bacterium (groundwater metagenome) tRNA-Pro
Rfam family: tRNA
About the family: Transfer RNA (tRNA) molecules are approximately 80 nucleotides in length.
Source: RNAcentral
CGGGGCGUAGCGCAGCCUGGUAGCGCGCACGGUUCGGGACCGUGAGGUCGGAGGUUCGAAUCCUCUCGCCCCGACCA